GUUUGACGUUAGCGACAGAAGAAGCACCGGCUAACUCCGUGCCAGCAGCCGCGGUAAUACGGAGGGUGCGAGCGUUAAUCGGAAUUACUGGGCGUAAAGCGCAUGCAGGUGGUUUGUUAAGUCAGAUGUGAAAGCCCGGGGCUCAACCUCGGAAUAGCAUUUGAAACUGGCAGACUAGAGUACUGUAGAGGGGGGUAGAAUUUCAGGUGUAGCGAUGAAAUGCGUAGAGAUCUGAAGGAAUACCGGUGGCGAUGGCGGCCCCCUGGACAGAUACUGACACUCAGAUGCGAAAGCGUGGGGAGCAAACAGGAUUAGAUACCGUGGUAGUCCACGCCGUAAACGAUGUCUACUCGGAGGUUGUGGCCCUGCGCCGUGGCUUUCGGAGCUAACGCGUUAAGUAGACCGCCUGGGGAGUACGGUCGCAAGAUUAAAACUCAAAUGAAUUGACGGGGGCCCGCACAAGCGGUGGAGCAUGUGGUUUAAUUCGAUGCAACGCGAAGAACCUUACCUACUCUUGACAUCCAGAGAACUUUCCAGAGAUGGAUUGGUGCCUUCGGGAACUCUGAGACAGGUGCUGCAUGGCUGUCGUCAGCUCGUGUUGUGAAAUGUUGGGUUAAGUCCCGCAACGAGCGCAACCCUUAUCCUUGUUUGCCAGCGAGUAAUGUCGGGAACUCCAGGGAGACUGCCGGUGAUAAACCGGAGGAAGGUGGGGACGACGUCAAGUCAUCAUGGCCCUUACGAGUAGGGCUACACACGUGCUACAAUGGCGCAUACAGAGGGCGGCCAACUUGCGAGAGUGAGCGAAUCCCAAAAAGUGCGUCGUAGUCCGGAUUGGAGUCUGCAACUCGACUCCAUGAAGUCGGAAUCGCUAGUAAUCGUGGAUCAGAAUGCCACGGUGAAUACGUUCCCGGGCCUUGUACACACCGCCCGUCACACCAUGGGAGUGGGCUGCAAAAGAAGUAGGUAGUUUAACCUUCGGGGGGACGCUACCA
RNAcentral lists this ribosomal RNA (992 nucleotides) under Vibrio alginolyticus. RNAcentral describes it as "bacterial SSU rRNA". It matches the Rfam family "Bacterial small subunit ribosomal RNA", at positions 467 to 1458 of the family's 1533-position model. The record is from RNAcentral. Lineage: Bacteria; Pseudomonadati; Pseudomonadota; Gammaproteobacteria; Vibrionales; Vibrionaceae.